This 489-nucleotide ribosomal RNA is filed under the name uncultured bacterium. RNAcentral's name for it is "partial 16S ribosomal RNA". It matches the Rfam family "Bacterial small subunit ribosomal RNA", at positions 28 to 507 of the family's 1533-position model. The record is from RNAcentral.
GACGAACGCUGGCGGCGUGCUUAACACAUGCAAGUCGAACGGUGAAGGGACCAGCUUGCUGGUUCUGGCUGAGUGGCGAACGGGUGAGUAACACGUGGGUAACCUGCCCCCUUCUUCUGGAUAACCGCAUGAAAGUGUGGCUAAUACGGGAUAUUCUGGGUCUGUCGCAUGGCGGGCCCGGGAAAGAUAUUGCUUCGGUGGGGGAUGGGCUCGCGGCCUAUCAGCUUGUUGGUGGGGUGAUGGCCUACCAAGGCGGUGACGGGUAGCCGGCCUGAGAGGGUGGACGGUCACACUGGGACUGAGACACGGCCCAGACUCCUACGGGAGGCAGCAGUGGGGAAGAUUGCACAAUGGGCGCAAGCCUGAUGCAGCGACGCCGCGUGAGGGAUGGAGGCCUUCGGGUUGUAAACCUCUUUCGCCAGUGAAGCAGGCCUGCUCCUUGUGGGUGGGUUGACGGUAGCUGGAUAAGAAGCGCCGGCUAACUACGUG